Zingiber officinale is the source of this 2807-nucleotide RNA transcript. It is a transcript of the gene named cleavage and polyadenylation specificity factor subunit 3-II-like, with no coding region annotated. The record is from RefSeq and is a predicted model, not a curated record. NCBI's taxonomy places the organism in Eukaryota, Viridiplantae, Streptophyta, Magnoliopsida, Zingiberales, Zingiberaceae. The transcript is spliced from 7 exons.
CGCCGGAGGAGCUCUCGGAUUCUUCUUAUCGUGGCCUCCGUCGAUCUCUCCUCGUCUUCCAAAGCCCCCUCCGAUCAAGUCCUAUAAUUCUGCAAGAAUUAAGUAACCCUACGCUUUCGGCUCGAACCUCGGCAAGAAGCUUGCGGGGACAGCAACCCUACAUUUCCGUUCUUCUCCGUUAUCCGGUCAUUCGCACCACAGUGGUUUCCUUCCCCGGUCGCGAUCAUCAAAGGGUCCUCCGAACCGAUUCCUGUGACUGCGAAGGCCUGUCCUCCCGCAUGCAGCCGUGAGCCCUCCAGAACCUGUAUCCUCUGCAGUGCACUGUGUGUAUUUCUCUUAUCUGCGGCACGGACAUCAGAAAGAAGGGCUCCUAGCCUGCUCUUUGUUUGCCAAUCAGGGGCAGGGCAAGAGGUAGGGAAGAGCUGCGUUGUUGUGUCAAUUGGUGGGAAGCGGAUUAUGUUCGACUGUGGCAUGCAUAUGGAAUACCUAGACCACCGUCGCUUCCCUGAUUUCUCUCUCAUCUCUGAGACUGGUGAUUUCAAUUCUGCUCCCACCUGUGUCGUCAUAGCACACUUGCCUUGGCCCCAUUGAUGUUAGAAGAUUACAGAAAAGUUAUUGUAGAUCGAAGAGGAAAGGAAGAGUUGUUUACAUAUGAUCAUAUUAUGGAGUGCAUGAACAAAGUUACACCCUUGGACAUAAAACAAACUAUUCAAGUUGAUGAGGAUCUUGAGAUUCGUGCUUAUUAUGCUGGACAUGUCAAUGCAAGGAGUUGCAUAAUAUGAAGCAUGGUGAGGAUGAGCAGAAGGCGGAAGAGAUGCAGUCACGAUGAAGCAUGUUGAGGGUCAUCUACAAGGAAGGAGACGUAUUUGUGGUGGUGGGUGCAUGUAGCACUGUGUAGGUGGGGCGGCGAAUUGGUGUUCUCCUGUACAAAUGGUGUUGUUAGGGAAGAGGUGAGGAGCAGAUAAUGACAUAAUGAGGAUGGUGGCAAGUAGUGAUUAAAAUACCAUUAUGUGUCGUUCGGCAUGAACAAUUUUUAUUGUUUUGACAUGGGAGCGAAACCGGUAUCAUACGCUCGACAAUUUUGUGUGCGUCAUCAUGUGCGUCGCACUCGCACGAUAGAAGGUGGGUUGGAGGCGUUUGAAGGCGUCGUAGGACACAUUCGGCGCCACCAGCACCGAUCCCGUGACGCGCGAUGCUACUGUGCCUAAGAAAAUUAAAACUUAAGUAGCAAAUGAAGGUGAAUUAAUGAUGCCGAUUGAAAGGGAUAUGUACAUGCUUUCUCAACCCACUUGCAAGGUUGAUGGAAGAGCUUGCUGCAUAUGGAAACACCAAUGUCCUUGGAGCUGCAAUGAAUUAUGCAAGAGUUGGAGAAAGCACUAUUUUGUACAAGGGGAUUACAAUAUGACACCAGAUCGACAUCUUGGAGCUGCUCAAAUCGAUCAUUUACAGUUAGAUCUUGCUAUAACUGAGAAUGCAGCAUAUAUGUUUUGCGAUUUUUAGUAAUUUAUUUGUUUUUGGAAGUAGGACAAAUAGACUCAAAUUUUAUCAUUGAACUAUCCAAACUGGAGCAAGCUUGAACUUUGGAGAAGCACAUAUGUACGGUAUUGAGAGCAAAGAAAUACAUUCAAGAGCUUGGCAGUGAUCCACCUAUGCAACAACUAUUCGCGACUCAGAAUAUGCUCGAGAAAGAGAGUUCUUAAAGGCGGUAUGCAGUAUUUGUUAUUGUGCAUAUAAGAGAGAUGAUAGAAAAAUAUUCCAAAUUUCUUAGUUAUCUAAUCAUUUCUUUUAUUUCUAUUAUAAGUUGUACCAUAAAGGAUAGUUCGGCGCACGAAAUUCUCAUCAAUUCGGAGUCUCGGGGAAUGGUCUAUUGUGCGUAGUCUUAUUUUGUCUUGUAAAAGGCUGUUGACUCGAAUUCUAGGUCAUAUGGUAAUAAUUUUACUAUGCACCAAGACUCUUUUUCAUUAUAAGUUGUACCAUGAAGUUGCCAAUUAAACUAUUAUAUGAAUGAUGAAUUGUCAUAGCUGGAGGUGUAAUUCCAUUUAACAGGACAUACGCCACUUUAUGACAUUACAUUAAUUUGUAACCAAACUGUAACAACAAUAGAUAACUCAAGGUAAACAACAUCUAUUCAACAGAAAUAUGCAUUCAUCCCUUUGUCAUAAAAAGUACAAUAAGAAUAUAUAUUAACAAUAAUACAAACGAACAUAACAAAAAGUAAAACUUGGGAAACAAAAUAUGGUAUUUAGCACGGUAAUCUCCAAGCAACUCUAUACAGGGGGUUGAAACCAAAUAAGGCUUCAAAACUAACCCUCGCCUACAAAAUUAGAGGCCAAGGUAAACAAGGAAAAAUAUAAAUUGCUAAGUAGAUAAAAAGGAAAGAAGAAAUAUCUACAUGAAUUUUAAUCUUGAUUAAUCAAGUUCAAAGGAUAAGUCAUUCCAACACUAGAGUUCUUAGUGGGUUUUUAUUCCAACACAAGAAGGCGAUUUACAAAUUCUUCUUCUUCUUCUUUUUUUUUUUUUUUGAUAACGUUGGAUCAAUUGAUACAUAUUUGGGGACUGGCUUCACAUUCCACUAGGAAAAUCCUUAACAAUGGAGCAUUAUCAAAGGACUACAUUAUAUGAGAAUCUCCUUGUACUAGAUAUUGGUAUCAUUUUCACCCAUGGUGCCAUUUCUUCUCGUGAAAAUAUCUUGUGUUUCAGGAACUUUGCAUUUUAUUGGAUGAUUACUGGGAACGAAUGAAGUUAAAGGUCCCCAUCUACUUCUCUGCUGGUACGUCCUUGUGAGUUUUUAUCUUUCCUUUGACUUU